UACGUAGGGUGCGAGCGUUGUCCGGAAUUAUUGGGCCUAAAGCAUCCGUAGCCGGUACUGCAAGUCUUCCGUUAAAUCCACCUGCUUAACAGUUGGGCUGCGGGGGAUACUACAGCGCUAGGAGGCGGGAGAGGCAAGCGGUACUCAAUGGGUAGGGGUAAAAUCCGCUGAUCCAUUGAAGACCACCAGUGGCGAAGGCGGCUUGCCAGAACGCGCUCGACGGUGAGGGAUGAAAGCUGGGGGAGCAAACCGG
Molecule: ribosomal RNA, 253 nt
Filed under: uncultured bacterium
Lineage: Bacteria
Description: partial 16S ribosomal RNA
Rfam family: Bacterial small subunit ribosomal RNA
Source: RNAcentral